Molecule: long non-coding RNA, 4061 nt
Organism: Ficedula albicollis (Collared flycatcher)
Lineage: Eukaryota; Metazoa; Chordata; Aves; Passeriformes; Muscicapidae
Exons: 3
Source: RefSeq, a predicted model, not a curated record
GGGGGCCGCGGCGACGAGGGGAUCGCCGUGAGGCGGCAGUGCCCUUGCGGCCAGGAGGGCAGUGGUACACGGGGUGCAUCGGGAAGAGCGCGCCAACGGGAGUGUUUAACUGCUGCAGUACAAACCCACUCCAUGUGAGCUGUCCAAGUCUGUCUGCUCGGUGGAAAACAGAACUGCUCUCCUUAUCUCCCCACAGUGUCUGUGGGAAGGAAGACUGAAGCUGAUGAUACCCAAAGGAGUACUACUGUGAGUGCAAAGGGAAGAUUAUAAACAUCAGAUGAUAAAAAGUGUUUACAUAUCUACUGUUGGGUGUAAUUACUGAAGCUUGGAAAAGAUGAAGUAACUUUUAUUUGUACACCUAAAAGAAGAAGAUAAGUUAAAGUACUUAUAUAGAUCAGCCUCAAACAUGAAAGUGUGAGAUAAACAAUGCCAACAACACUGCAACAUAAAACCCAGAUUUCAAGCCAAACAUCCAUGAAGAAAGAAGUGUUCCAUGGAAAAUAUCAUAUUCUUGCAGUCUUUCUGACCACAGAGUUACACUCAUUAUGGUAAAGCUAUAAUUGCAGCCUUGUGAAUACAGUGCCACAGACAAUGGCCUGUCAGUAUUUUUCCCCUAUAAACUCUCAUGUGAGGUUUGCAGUUUUGUGAAAUACAAUUUUCUUUGGCUGGGAUAUUCAGCUACAUUCUCAUCCCAGAAAUUGACCUUUUUUGUGUGCAUGUUUGUUUCCUUUACAGAGUUGUUCAAAGUUCAUUGUUUGGUAAGUGCCUGAGCCUUUCUGAUUGCUUGGCUGCUUGUGCCUUAUCUGUACUGUGAGGAUGUGUGGAGAGUUUGCUGUCACUGGUAAUGCAUCAAUGCUUUGUAGUAUUUAGGGCUCUGUCAGACUGUUGCAGAGUCCACACUUUGGACCAAACUCCCUACAAUUGUAGUGAUGUGGUUUGGGAAAGAGCAGCAGGAUUAUAGCAAAUUAGCACUGGCUAGCAUACCCAGGCACACACAGAGCAAAAUGUGCUUUAGGGAAUACUAGAGUAUAUUAUUACAGCUAUGGAAGGAAGGAGAGUUGGCCAGGCCAGUUAAAUGGGUAAAAUUGUAAAGAUUUAUCUGCCUUAAAGACAAAAGAAAUUCUGAAUUGAUGUUUCAAAAAAAAACUCCUAAAACCUGUAGGAUUAGUGAACCCCUGCAACAUGCAAAAAUCAUUUGUACAGUUCCAGUUUUGAUUCUUUGUUUGGUUUAGCUAAGAGUCUUCUGAGGGUCUCCUUCUCACAACUCUGUGAGAUUGUGGUAAUAGAGAUCCAAAUCAGCCCAGUUUGUUUUUUUUCACAGAUAACUCAAGGGGAAAAUACAGUGUCAACGUUGAAUGCUGAUCCCCAGAUUGAAGUAUGUUUAGUUACAAAUGCUAACCAUGUAACACCUGCAUGUGAAUCCCGUAUGAAAUAGGACAUAUGAAAUAACUGUACGUGUAAUGCCUUACUUGAAAAUAAUUAUUUUGAGACAAAUAUUACAUGCACUUAAGGGAUCUCACCUAUGGUUAGAUACAGUUCACUAAAUACAAAUUUAUUCAGUGUCAAUCAGUGCUCGGCAAGAAAACACUGAAAUCCUUGUGCUGCAGAGAUCUCUUGUUGCUUCAGCAACUCAUUCAUUACAUGUUGCAGGGAAAAACUGCUGAGUUCACAUAGUUUAAAACAAAUACAAAUCAAAGCGCUUUAUUGGCAGAGUGUAAUUAUCCAGCAAUCAGUGAACUAUGGAAACGAGAUCAGUAAUACAAAUAGGCUAACCAUGCUAGACAUUUCUAAACAGUCUGCUAUAACUAAUCCCAGAAACACACAGGUGCACAUAUGCAGAGUUGUAUGCAGCCCCUCAACUCAUGGCCACUAUGUGUUACCAAAACACCCCCCUUCCCAAAGACUGCAGAUUUCCAUUUGCAUGUCUCCUGUGGGAAAUGUGAAUCCUCUACCUUUUUACAUAUCCCUGCAGUUCCCUACAAGUCAUGGGCUGAACCACACACCCUUGAGACAGUUGUUUCCCUUCCAACGUCUCUCCUGUUACUAGUUUUCACACUUCAUUUAUAUUUUUUUUCAGUCUUACUUCUGCUUUGUGUCAAGUCUUUGUAAUUCCCCAGUAACCGUUUACACACAGAACCACACACAGAAUCACUAGGUUGGAAGAGACCCCCAAGAUCAUCGAGUCCAACUCAUGCCCAAACACCUCAACUAGACCAUGGCACUGAGUGCCACAUCCAGUCUGUUUUUAAACACAUUCAGAGAUGGUUUAAUCUGACUGAUGAUCAUCUUCUGUAACAUGUUCAGUUUGGGCAAGUGUUGAUCGGGCAGUUUGGUGUGUUUCUUCUGCAGGCGCACACAGAUACUCAAUUCACACACAUCUUUAUCUUCAGGGAUGACAGUUCCUAUGCCAUUUGUUGAGGGUGUGCUGUGCAUCCCUGCCAGGUCCAUAGUGAGGGAGAGCCCUCCUUGAGGACCUUGGCAGGUGCAUGGGCCACAGGAGCAGGGAGAGCAAGGGGCAUGGCUGAGCAGCUGCCUGCAGCCAUGUGGCUGACACUGUUCAAACCAGAGUGCCUUGUGUUCCGGAUGCAUCCCACGCAGUUGAAGGUAAUAAUAAGUGGACAAGCAAACCUAUUCCCAGACUCACUCCAUGCUCCAAAACCCAAAAAUAAAAUUAACAGUUGCUUUACUAAAUGUGUUUUGAACACCUAUUAUGAUUCUCGAUAAAGUCGUCAUAAGUGGGAUGGAAACAGCAAAUUGGAUCAUUGGAAAAACUGCAGAGAGACCAUCUGGGCCUGGAGUUUUAAUGGAUGGUAAAGAAUUUACAUUUGAUAUGCCCACAGUUUACAUUUUUUGAGGUGAUAAAGAUAUUUGGAUAAUUUUAUUUUUUGGAUGUUUUGCAUAAAUUGAAGAGCCAUGAUUGAAACUGGAACCGGAGUCAGGAAAUAACCAGAUUGUGUACAACGUGGUGAAGUGCUAACAAAUACCCAUAUGCUACAUGAUUAAUUUAGUAUAAAAUGCCAGUUGUGGAUUUGAUUUGUCAGCAGUUGGCUUGGGUUUUGUGAUUACUGGCCAAUAAUUUAACUGAUGAUUUGAUCUAUAACAGAAUCCUCAACUUUUGGGAAUGAAGGAGAGUUGCAGUGAUAGUGAAAUGCAUUAACUAUACGCAGAGCUGCUAGAAUGGAUGCUGAUACCUUCUGGGCUCUUCAUGCAGCUGAUGAAUAGCCUUGUCUCACCACAGUAUGAUUUAUGGUGGUAAAUCAGGACAGGGGAUAGAACCAAGUGACUGCUAUUGUUUCAAUAUGUCUUCAUGCAGUGUUUUUGAAUUGCAGAUAGAGAGGCAAAGAACUCUCUGGGUCUGACUAUAAAUACAGCUGCAAAGUAUGGCACCACUCUGCCUCUGAGUCAACCUCUAAUCUCUGUUCUUGGCAUAUCAGCACUGGGCCGUAGGGAAGGGCCAUCUGUCAGGCGUAAUUGGAAAUGGAGGCACUGACCAUCUGCAGGUAUUUAAAGUCUCCUGACAUUUUUUGCAAGCUGGAGGAUAAUUCAGUGUUAUAAUUUAUAGUGUGUCUACCUAUUAUCCUCUACAUUUUUCAAGGGAAUAUAUUAUUACAUUAUAUUACAUUAAUACAUUAUUCUUGGUCUGUUGUCUUUCUGUUGUCUAUCUCUUUAUGUCACAAACUUAUUUUUCACCCUUUGCAGCAAUUAACUCUUGACAGGAGUGACCCCUGUAAAUCUUUGUGAGUUUGAGAAUUUUUCAGAAGAUGUGCCAUGUAAAUUACAGGUCGCUGUUAUUGGUGGACCAAGCAGAAGCUUCCCUUAAAGCUUUAAGAUUUUAUUAGGCUAAAAUGGAAUUCAAAUCUGGUUUCUACUUUGCAGAAGACGAUCAAUGCUAUAUUACAUUGCUUUCCUAUUGUCUGUAUGGUGUAAAUGAUUUAGCAAAUGGAAAGGCCAGCUCUGUUCCAAAGAAAAGAUGUAUAAAUGUAUAAAGAUGCCUGCAGAAUUCCUGUAUGUGCACAGCUAUAGCUGUUAACAGCAAAUAAUAAUGUACACUGCUUAUGGGA